UGCAAACACCCUGAGAGAAGGUGAGACCAGCACCAAGAGAGAAGAGACAGCAGACACUGCUCCUAAUAAUGGACCAGGAGACCAGCACUCAGAGCCUGAUAGCUCAGGGAAGAGACCCUUCCUAGUUGCUGCAGUCUGUCUGGGGCUGAUAUGUGUUCUCCUACUGGCUGGGAUCAUAGGCCUGUCUGUCUACUAUGACAGAGCCAUCAAAGAUUCUGAAGAUAAAAGGAGCAACUUGUCAAAGAGUUUUUCUGUUUAUAAGACCAACACAACUGCAGAGCGAGACCUGCUACAGACCAGCUAUAACAACCUGACUAAAGAGAGAGACCAGUUACAGACCAGUUACAACAACCUGACUAAAGAGAGAGACCA
Long non-coding RNA from Coregonus clupeaformis (lake whitefish), 372 nucleotides. RefSeq lists it as uncharacterized. Lineage: Eukaryota; Metazoa; Chordata; Actinopteri; Salmoniformes; Salmonidae. The record is from RefSeq and is a predicted model, not a curated record. The transcript is spliced from 3 exons.